Molecule: microRNA, 21 nt
Filed under: Anolis carolinensis (green anole)
Lineage: Eukaryota; Metazoa; Chordata; Lepidosauria; Squamata; Anolidae
Description: aca-miR-5390
Source: miRBase by way of RNAcentral
GAAUUCCGGAUAAGAGACGUC